AUCUAGAAAGCUGAGGCUGUCUCUGAUUCUGCUGUGGCUCCGUCCCUUGUGGAAGGACGGGAGGGCAGGACGAGGGGACAGAUCAGCAAGAUUCUUGGACAUGGUUUUUAUUCCCUGAAGAAUGUGCUUGGGUCCAUUCCAGCAUUCGCUCUGAAAUCAGAUGUGCAGUUAAGAGUUAAGGAAAACCUUCAAGGGAGCCAGGCCAAAAGAUGUGGGCACUGUUUUUGGCUCAACCGGAGAACCUGUCCUCUUCAGCUAGAGAAGGCGGAGGCCCAGGGCAGAGGUCUGUG
Long non-coding RNA from Herpailurus yagouaroundi (jaguarundi), 290 nucleotides. RefSeq lists it as uncharacterized. The transcript has 3 exons. The record is from RefSeq and is a predicted model, not a curated record. Lineage: Eukaryota; Metazoa; Chordata; Mammalia; Carnivora; Felidae.